GAUCUUUAUUUUUGUUAAUUAUAAAUUAAAAAGAAUAUUUAAAUUUAUAUUUUAAUAAAAAAUUUUACUGGGGUGGUAUUAAAAUUUAAAUAACUUUUAUUGUUUAUUUACAUUAAUAUAUGAAUAAUUGAUCCAGUUUUAUUGAUUAAAAAAUUAAGUUACCUUAGGGAUAACAGCGUAAUUUUUUUUUAGAGUUCAUAUCGACAAAAAAGAUUGC
This 217-nucleotide ribosomal RNA is filed under the name Ochlerotatus scapularis. Its description in RNAcentral is "partial 16S ribosomal RNA". The record is from RNAcentral. Lineage: Eukaryota; Metazoa; Arthropoda; Insecta; Diptera; Culicidae.